UCUUGAUCAGUGAUUAAUAUUGUGGUCCGCAAUAUUUAAUGCGGCCGCAACAUUGCAGAUGCGGCCGGCAACGCAUCAACGCACCAGAAUUCUAUGGAAAAACUAACUGGAAUGUUAUGGAAAAACUACUAACCUGCUUGUGUUCACACUUCUAAUCGGUUGUGCUCUUCUUCUUCCCAAAAUUCUGUGUUGCGCUCUUCUUCCCUAAAA
RNAcentral lists this long non-coding RNA (210 nucleotides) under Lupinus angustifolius (narrow-leaved blue lupine). Its description in RNAcentral is "long non-coding RNA (LANG_LNC003655)". Lineage: Eukaryota; Viridiplantae; Streptophyta; Magnoliopsida; Fabales; Fabaceae. The record is from RNAcentral.